Molecule: non-coding RNA, 32 nt
Filed under: Mus musculus (house mouse)
Lineage: Eukaryota; Metazoa; Chordata; Mammalia; Rodentia; Muridae
Source: RNAcentral
UGAAUAAAUAUAAACUACCAUUUUUUUAGAGU